UAGAGUUUGAUCCUGGCUCAGAACGAACGUUGGCGGCGUGGAUUAGGCAUGCAAGUCGAACGAGAACCGGGUAGCAAUACCCGGGGAAAGUGGCGAAAGGGGCAGUAAGGCGUGGGUAACCUACCCUGGGGUUGGGCAUAGCCGGUCUAACGACCGGGUAAUUCCCAGCGACGUCAUUUGGGGGCAUCUCCGGAUGACCAAAGAUUUAUCGCCCCGGGAGGGGCCCACGUGAUAUUAGCUUGUUGGUGAGGUAACGGCUCACCAAGGCAAAGAUGUCUAGCGGGUGUGAGAGCACGACCCGCGCCACUGGCACUGAGACACUGGCCAGACUCCUACGGGAGGCUGCAGUCGAGGAUCUUCGGCAAUGGGCGCAAGCCUGACCGAGCGACGCCGCGUGUGCGAUGAAGGCCUUCGGGUUGUAAAGCACUGUCGAGGGGGAGGAAGCCGAAAGGUUGACCUAUCCCUGGAGGAAGCACGGGCUAAGUUCGUGCCAGCAGCCGCGGUAAGACGAACCGUGCAAACGUUGUUCGGAAUCACUGGGCUUAAAGGGCGCGUAGGCGGGCCAGCCAGUCUGUGGUGAAAGCCCCCGGCUUACCCGGGGAAGUGCCGUGGAUACUGCUGGCCUCGAGGAGGAUAGGGGCAUCUGGAACGGUCGGUGGAGCGGUGAAAUGCGUUGAUAUCGACCGGAACUCCGGUGGCGAAGGCGAGGUGCUGGGUCCUUUCUGACGCUGAUGCGCGAAAGCCAGGGGAGCAAACGGGAUUAGAUACCCCGGUAGUCCUGGCCCUAAACGUUGAGGACUAGGUAGUGGACUUAACAUGGGUUCACUGUCGGAGCAAAAGUGCUAAGUCCUCCGCCUGGGGAGUAUGGUCGCAAGACUGAAACUCAAAGGAAUUGACGGGGGCUCACACAAGCGGUGGAGCAUGUGGCUCAAUUCGAGGCUACGCGAAGAACCUUAUCCCGGGCUUGACAUGUCCGAAAGGGGUAGGAAGUAGGGAGCGGAAACGCCACCCGAACGGUAUCCAAUCCGGAACCUACCACAGGUGCUGCAUGGCUGUCGUCAGCUCGUGUCGUGAGAUGUCGGGUUAAGUCCCAUAACGAGCGAAACCCUUGUUUCCAGUUGCCAGCGAGUAAAGUCGGGGACUCUGGAAAGACUGCCGGUGUUAAACCGGAGGAAGGUGGGGAUGACGUCAAGUCCUCAUGGCCUUUAUGCCCGGGGCUGCACACGUGCUACAAUGGCGUGAACAAAGGGACGCAAACUCGCGAGAGGGAGCAAAUCCCAAAAAACACGCCCCAGUUCAGAUUGCAGGCUGCAACUCGCCUGCAUGAAGUUGGAAUCGCUAGUAAUCGCGGGUCAGCAACACCGCGGUGAAUGUGUUCCUGAGCCUUGUAUACACCGCCCGUCAAGCCACGAAAGGGAGGGACGUCCGAAGUCGCCUUUGCCGGUGCCGAAGACGGACUUCCUGAUUGGGACUAAGUCGUAACAAGGUAACCGUA
RNAcentral lists this ribosomal RNA (1495 nucleotides) under uncultured bacterium. RNAcentral's name for it is "bacterial SSU rRNA". It matches the Rfam family "Bacterial small subunit ribosomal RNA". The record is from RNAcentral.